CUAGAUAUUGAAAGCUAAUAAAGUUGUGAAGUGCAUAAAGAAGGCUUGAAAAUUUUAAUGAAGCCUUAUUACUUCGGAAGAAAUUCUUUCUUUAGGAAAUUAUAAAAUUGGGUGAAGUAAAACAUUAUAGUAACUCAAAAAGAAAUCAACCGAGACUUCGUUAGUAGUGGCGAGCGAAUGCGAAUUUAGAUAAAAUGAUUAAUAAAAAGUUGAAUCAUCCUAAGAGGGUUUUAGUCCCGUAGACUUAUUUAUUAUGAUUUAUAUGUUAUAACGAAUUAUGUUAAAUUUGUUAUAGUGGGGAUCUUCCCUCAUAUCUAAAAGCUUUAAUAACCGAUAGUGAAUGAGUACCGUAAGGGAAAGGUGAAAUAGAACUUUUUUAGAGUUAAAAGAACCUAAAAUUUAAUGCAUAUGAUCUGUUGGAGCUUUUUAAUUAACGUUAAAAAAGUGACAGCGUACCUUUUGCAUAAUGGGCCAAUAAGUUUAUAUAUAUGGUAAGUUUAAGUUUAAAAACAAGACGUAGCGAAAGCAAAUUUUAAAAAGUGCUAGAAUCAUCUAUAUAAGACCCGAAGCUGAGUGAUCUAACCAUGAACAGGUUGAAGAUAUUACGGAAACGUAAUUCGGAGGACCGAACUCGUGUCUGUUGAAAAAGAUUGGGAUGAUUUGUGGUUAGGAGCGAAAGACUAAUCAAACUCAGGUAUAGCCGGUUUUCUGCGAAAUAUAUUUAAGUAUAGCCUAUAAAUAAUUUCUUAUGGGGUAGAGCACUUUUAAAGGAAUGGGGACUUUUGUCUUACUGAACUUUGAAAAACUACGAAUACGUAAGAAAGUUUUAUGGAGUCAGACUAUGGGCGCUAAGGUCUAUAGUCAAGAGGGAAACAGCCCAGACUAAUUGAUAAGGUCCUCAAUUGUAUGUUAAGUGAAAAGUAUGUAAAAAAAUUAUGACAAUUAUAAAGUGGGCUUGGAAGCAGCCAUCUUUUUGAGAAAGCGUAACAGCUCAUUAAUCUAGUUUUUUUGCUUCGAAAAUGUAAAGAGACUUAAACUUUUAACCGAAUCAGUAGAUAAUAUAUAUUAUGGUAGCAGAACGUUUGAUAUGUCUAUGAAGGUAUUUUGUUAAAAAUACUGCAGAUAUUCAAAGUGAGCAUAUUGGCAUUAGUAGCUAAAACAACGUUUAAUCGUUGUCGCCGUAAAUCUAAGGUUUUCGAUACAACACUUAAUGAUAUCGAUAUUUAAGACGGACCCUAAGGCAAAUUACAAACGUAUAAGCUGAUGGGAAAUUCUUUUUGUGACGGAAUGAAACAGUUAUUAAGUUUUACUGAAUAAGGACUUAGUUUUUUAUCGUUUCCAGGAAAUAGCAAUUAGAAAUAUAUACCGUACCCUAAACCGACACAGGUAGAUGUGUAGAAUAUACAAAGGCGUUCAAGAUAAGUGUGCUGAAGGAACUCGGCAAAUUUGCUCUGUAACUUCGGGAGAAGGAGUGACAUUAUUGGGAAACCAGUAAUUGUUGACACUAAAGAGGAAGAAACGACUGUUUAACAAAAACACAGGUCUCUGCGAAUUCGAGAGAAGAUGUAUAGAGACUGACACCUGCCCGGUGCUGUAAGAUGACGUGGAGAUGUAAAAACAUUGAAAUUAAGUUCCAGUAAACGGCGGCUGUAACUCUGACGGUCCAAAGGUAGCGAAAUUCCUUGUCGGGUAAGUUCCGACCUGCAUGAAUGGUGUAACGAUUUCUUCACUGUCUCCAGCACACGCUUGGUGAAUUUGAAAUGUCCGUGAAGAUGCGGACUUUUUGUGGUUAGACGGAAAGACCCCGUGCACCUUUACUAUGAUUUUAAGUUGCAGAACUGUAUAACUUGUGUAGAAUAGAUGGGAGCGUAAGCAAAAAUGAAAUACCAUCCUUGAUAUACUGUUUUGCUCAAUUCUUUUUAGAAGACAGCUUAUGAAAGGUAGUUUGACUGGGGCGGUCACCUCCUAAAAAGUAACGGAGGUGUACAAAGGUUUCCUCAAAUCGGCCAGAAAUCGAUUGAAGAGUGUAAAAGCAUAAGGAAGCUUAACUGUGAGACAAACAAGUCAAACAGAGACGAAAGUCGGUUUUAGUGAUCUGACGCUGCUGUGUGGAAAGGGCGUCACUCAACGGAUAAAAGUUACUCUAGGGAUAACAGGCUGAUCUCCCCCAAGAGUCCAUAUCGACGGGGAGGUUUGGCACCUCGAUGUCGGCUCAUCGCAUCCUGGGGCGGAAGUACGUCCCAAGGGUUGGGCUGUUCGCCCAUUAAAGCGGUACGUGAGCUGGGUUCAGAACGUCGUGAGACAGUUCGGUCCAUAUCCGGCGUAGGCGUUAGAAUAUUGAGAGUGAAUUUUCUCUAGUACGAGAGGACCGAGAAAGACAUGCCUCUGGUGUACCAGUUAUUGCGCCAGCAGUAAACGCUGGGUAGCUAUGCAUGGUUUAGAUAAUCGCUGAAAGCAUCUAAGUGAGAAGCUGUCCUCAAGAUUAAUAUUCUUAAGUCACGGCAAGACUAGCCGGUUAAUAGGGUUUAUGGUGUAAGUAUAGUAAUAUAAUAAGCCAAAAAUUACUAACGACUUUAGUUUAAGUAG
RNAcentral lists this ribosomal RNA (2586 nucleotides) under wastewater metagenome. Its description in RNAcentral is "bacterial LSU rRNA". It matches the Rfam family "Bacterial large subunit ribosomal RNA". The record is from RNAcentral.